RNAcentral lists this long non-coding RNA (755 nucleotides) under Elaeis guineensis (African oil palm). Its description in RNAcentral is "long non-coding RNA (EGUI_LNC043849)". Lineage: Eukaryota; Viridiplantae; Streptophyta; Magnoliopsida; Arecales; Arecaceae. The record is from RNAcentral.
UCCCUCUUUCUCUCUUUUUCUCCCCCUGGUUACCUUCUUCUCUCUUGUGUCAGUUUGUGCCAGUCCGAUCUAGUAUGGACCUGUGCCGAUUCGUACUGCCAGCUGGCCAGCACAGAUGUCUAUAUCAAGUCCACCAACCUUGGUUCCAGUAUUUCCUUUUUAAGUAUAUGUCAUACUUCUUUUUUCUAACUAGAAAAGAAUAAAAUCCCAUUCGGAAGUAUAUGUCAUAGCGAUACACAUGACACACAUUUACAUGUUCCUUAGGGAAUUAUACCAUUUUUGUUUUCCUUAAGGCACUACCCUUAACCUGAAGUCCAUCUAAAUUUGGGCUCUAGGUCCAAUUAUAAAAUUGUCCAGGUUUUAAAACAAAAUUCAUUUAUUUGAAACCAUGAUCUUAAUCCUGUAAGCAUUCAUUCAAUAGGAUCACAUAAACAUGUUUGUUUUGGACUGCCACAUUUGAAUUCAUUAGGCUUCUAAAUUUAAAUUUAUACCAAUCAGACAUAAAUCACUAAAUUUUACAUGGUAUUCUUAACCUAUGCAUAGUUCUUAAGGGCCUACCCUUAAAUUCAUAUGCGGUUAAGGUAUAUGGGCCACAUACAUGUGCAUAAGCAUAUCCAUGUGCAUGUGUUAAUUUGAGGAUCCAUCAAAACAAUUUUAUUUCUAGUGAUUAAUGUCCACAUUGAGGCUUUAAGUGACCACAUGUAUGUUAAGGGACCCAUAACACAUUUAUAAUCUUUAAAGGCUAUAGACUCUAC